This 261-nucleotide long non-coding RNA is filed under the name Mustela putorius furo (domestic ferret). RNAcentral's name for it is "lncRNA (ENSMPUG00000030485.1)". Lineage: Eukaryota; Metazoa; Chordata; Mammalia; Carnivora; Mustelidae. The record is from RNAcentral.
UUUUGAAUGGGAAGACUGGAGGUCUCUGAAACAUUUCUUUACCACAGAACAUGGGAUUAGGAGUCUAAGAAGACCCAGCUGGCUGGAGUUCAUGAGACAAAGGACUAAAGAUAAGAGAGCUACAUGGAAGGCUCUCUGGAGAUCUGUGGAGGGUCAUUUUUGGACAUUAUUUAGAAUGCCACCUUCCCAGCAUGGUCACAUCCUCAACAGACAAGAUGAAGGGCCAGAAGCAGAAAAGUGGCAUUAGUCUAUGUAAACAAG